CUUGACAUGUCUGGAAGCCGAAGAGAUUUGGCCGUGCUCGCAAGAGAACCCGGAACACAGGUGCUGCAUGGCUGUCGUCAGCUCGUGUCGUGAGAUGUUGGGUUAAGUCCCGCAAACGAGCGCAACCCUUGUCAUUAGUUGCUACGCAAGAGCACUCUAAUGAGACUGCCGGUGACAAACCGGAGGAAGGUGGGGAUGACGUCAAGUCCUCAUGGCCCUUAUGGGUAGGGCUUCACACGUCAUACAAUGGUCGGGACAGAGGGUCGCCAACCCGCGAGGGGGAGCCAAUCUCAGAAACCCGAUCGUAGUCCGGAUCGCAGUCUGCAACUCGACUGCGUGAAGUCGGAAUCGCUAGUAAUCGCGGAUCAGAAUGUCGCGGUGAAUACGUUCCCGGGUCUUGUACACACCGCCCGUCACACCAUGGGAGUGGGUUUCACCAGAAGUAGGUAGCCUAACCGGAAGGAGGGCGCCAACCUGUGGG
RNAcentral lists this ribosomal RNA (481 nucleotides) under Alcaligenes faecalis. RNAcentral describes it as "bacterial SSU rRNA". It matches the Rfam family "Bacterial small subunit ribosomal RNA", at positions 980 to 1464 of the family's 1533-position model. Lineage: Bacteria; Pseudomonadati; Pseudomonadota; Betaproteobacteria; Burkholderiales; Alcaligenaceae. The record is from RNAcentral.